UUGAAAUAAGCCAAUACAACCGUUUAAAAAAAGGCGGAACAGUUUUAGCAGCAUUCCCGCGAGAGUUUUGGCUCCAAAUAUUACAUUUUUUAGCACCAUUUUAAUGUAACCCUCAAAAUAAAGAUAUCCUAAAAUUUUCAACCCACAAAAUAAAGCCCAUAAUUUGAAAAAUAAUGUGCGGCGGUCGAUGACUUAGCUCCAAAGUCGAUCUGAAGUGCGGUGGUUGGGGAUAUCAUCUACGAUGACGAGCUGAGGGGCACGGUGGUCGGCAAUGUCAUCUCCUCCACUUCUUCGUUUGAUUACAGUCCUGGUGUUUUAGGGGCUUAGAGAGAGAGGGAGAGAGAGUCACGCCAAACCGGCUUUGAUUCAAAAAGCAGAAGGAUUUAUGCUGGCUGGAUCAAUACUCAUGGUUGGUGGCAUAAUUGCUGGUGCUGUUGUUGGAGGCAUGAUGGAUGCUUUGAUUGAUUUGCCUCCUUGGAUCACCUUUCUGGGAGCAUGAGAAGGAGGUAUUUAUCCCUGAAACUUCUCCUGGUGCAAAGCCUUGCGUUUACUAUACAUAUAUGUGUUUUUUGUCUUCUUAUUUAAUAUGUUUGACAUUGUAAGUUUCUUCUUAACUUUAUGUUCUACUAUCCAUAUAUGUGCUGCUAGACAGUAUUUCUAUAAUAUAUUUUUUUCAUGAUUUUCCUCUCAUCCAGGAUAUUAAUCUUCUUUGGCAACCACUACUUAGUUACAUGACACAAAAAUAUAAAGCAAGAUGGUCCAUUUUUAUUUUGUGCUAAAAUUUGUGAUGGACUCGCUCUUGAUGCGGCUACAAAAAUACCCUUGCCUUGUUUCCAAGAUUUUCAGUUACACUGGCAAAGAAGUAUUUUAAAGUUUGUUGAAGUUACCCACUAUUCUCUCUUUUUGGCACCUUCUCUCUUCACUUGUUCAUAUAUCAUAGCUUUAUAUUCCUUGUUGUUUAUAAUCUUGUCUUCUAGUUGUUGUAGAGAUAGAAACUUAGUUGAAAGAAUUGCAGAUGCUACUGCAGUGAAAUCAUGGCGAUGGUGCUGAUCAAAGAUCUUUUGGUUGUUUCUGUCAUCUUCAAAAGAAAGAAGCCUCUACAUUCCAUUAUAUAUGAAUAUAAAAUUUGUAUAAUAUAAUCUUCAUAUAUCUAAUCCAGCCUUGUAAAUGUUUGACUCAGUAUUCAGUUUGAUUAAAUCAUACUUCUGCUUUUCUUUGAUAUACACCAAUGUUGAUUUUUUUUACAUGUAAGGAUGUUUCCUAAUUUUUCCAGCAAGUGGUUAUGUAAUUAAUUUGCAUUGAUUGAAUAUUUUUAUAGUUUAAGAUUUGUGUCUUUGUUGAGGUACUUGUAAUUGAGGUACAGAUCUCUCUGUUUCUUCCACCCACCUUCAAAUCUACCUUUUUGUUUUUGUUUGUUUACUUUCACAUCUUCCACUAGAUUUUUCUCAACAGAAUUCUUGAGAAACUUUUGGGUCUUUAAUUGCUUAUAAUAGUCUUUCUUUAUGAGAAAAAAUCUGGUCAUAUCUUUGAUGGAUUUUGACUAAGUUAUUGAGCUCUGCUUUGAUUGGUCUUAGCUUCCUUUCCAGGCAGUUGACAUUCAGUACUACUUGAACUACCUUGGGAAAAUGGUGACUCUCUUGGUGGAACUGGAUGGAGCAUGAGUGAGUUCAGUUGGGAUGU
Long non-coding RNA from Quercus robur (English oak), 1680 nucleotides. RefSeq lists it as uncharacterized. Lineage: Eukaryota; Viridiplantae; Streptophyta; Magnoliopsida; Fagales; Fagaceae. The record is from RefSeq and is a predicted model, not a curated record. The transcript has 5 exons.